This 782-nucleotide ribosomal RNA is filed under the name Arthrobacter sp. Its description in RNAcentral is "bacterial SSU rRNA". It matches the Rfam family "Bacterial small subunit ribosomal RNA", at positions 68 to 861 of the family's 1533-position model. Lineage: Bacteria; Bacillati; Actinomycetota; Actinomycetes; Micrococcales; Micrococcaceae. The record is from RNAcentral.
GAUGAUCCGGUGCUUGCACCGGGGAUUAGUGGCGAACGGGUGAGUAACACGUGAGUAACCUGCCCUUGACUCUGGGAUAAGCCUGGGAAACUGGGUCUAAUACCGGAUAUGACUCCUCAUCGCAUGGUGGGGGGUGGAAAGCUUUUGUGGUUUUGGAUGGACUCGCGGCCUAUCAGCUUGUUGGUGAGGUAAUGGCUCACCAAGGCGACGACGGGUAGCCGGCCUGAGAGGGUGACCGGCCACACUGGGACUGAGACACGGCCCAGACUCCUACGGGAGGCAGCAGUGGGGAAUAUUGCACAAUGGGCGCAAGCCUGAUGCAGCGACGCCGCGUGAGGGAUGACGGCCUUCGGGUUGUAAACCUCUUUCAGUAGGGAAGAAGCGAAAGUGACGGUACCUGCAGAAGAAGCGCCGGCUAACUACGUGCCAGCAGCCGCGGUAAUACGUAGGGCGCAAGCGUUAUCCGGAAUUAUUGGGCGUAAAGAGCUCGUAGGCGGUUUGUCGCGUCUGCCGUGAAAGUCCGGGGCUCAACUCCGGAUCUGCGGUGGGUACGGGCAGGCUAGAGUGAUGUAGGGGAGACUGGAAUUCCUGGUGUAGCGGUGAAAUGCGCAGAUAUCAGGAGGAACACCGAUGGCGAAGGCAGGUCUCUGGGCAUUAACUGACGCUGAGGAGCGAAAGCAUGGGGAGCGAACAGGAUUAGAUACCCUGGUAGUCCAUGCCGUAAACGUUGGGCACUAGGUGUGGGGGACAUUCCACGUUUUCCGCGCCGUAGCUAACGCAUU